Molecule: unclassified non-coding RNA, 253 nt
Filed under: uncultured bacterium
Lineage: Bacteria
Also listed under: 1 other name
Description: partial 16S ribosomal RNA
Rfam family: Bacterial small subunit ribosomal RNA
Source: RNAcentral
UACGAGGGGGGCUAGUGUUGUUCGGAAUUACUGGGCGUAAAGGGAGCGUAGGUGGAAAUGCAAGUCGGGUGUUUAAUCUCGGGGCCCAACCUCGAGUUUGCGCUCGAAACUGCAUUUCUUGAAUAUGGUAGAGGUAGAUGGAAUUCCGGGUGUAGCGGUGGAAUGCGUAGAUAUCCGGAGGAACACCAGUUGCGAAGGCGAUCUACUGGACCAAUAUUGACACUGAGGCUCGAAAGCGUGGGGAGCGAACAGG